Molecule: long non-coding RNA, 868 nt
Filed under: Manihot esculenta (cassava)
Lineage: Eukaryota; Viridiplantae; Streptophyta; Magnoliopsida; Malpighiales; Euphorbiaceae
Description: long non-coding RNA (MESC_LNC007092)
Source: RNAcentral
ACAUCAUUUCUAUACAUUACAUAACCUCUGUACUGUACAUCAUUAUCAUGUCCACUACUCUAUACUAUUACAUAUGCUUUUACCCUUGCUUUCUCUUUCUCUUUCUCUUCUCUGAGGCCCUGAAAAAUGGGAUUAGGGAGAGGGAUGAGCUACUAAAGCCCAGUGAGCGGAAGCCAUAAAAACAUUUAAAAUAUGCUAUAAUGUAAUGCGUCACUGCACAAACAUUUCACAUCUCAGAUUGGACAUGACCCCAAAACUCCCUCUGUCGGUGCCCGGCCCCCAAAGGAGCUCACACAGGUCUUUCACUAACUACUCAUGGUGCCCGACCCUAUAAGGGCUCUCACAGGACUCAUCCAAGUUAAAUGCCCGGCCCCAAAGGAGCUCACACAGGACAUACAAUAAUGACAGACUUGUGGGCUAUUGGAGUCGCCUCGGUCCAAUCCACAUAUACAAGUAAUAAUGCAAUGCAUCAACUUGGUGAAUACUAAUGCAAAGCAUCCUACAUAAACAUGGCAUUAAUGAUGCAUGAAUCAUGCUAAAACAUUCAUUAACUUUCAAACAUAGUUCUGUUCCACUCACCUCUGUCUACUGCUGAGCAGUCUCUGUAACUCUAACUCUGUGGGCCUCCUUGGUCCCUCGGGUUCGCACCUACACAGGUGGACUCAAAUGAGGACCAAACAUACUUAAACAUAACUCUUAAUAUCUCCCCAAAACCCCUCUAAAACAUCAUAAGCAUGCAUGACAAAAUGGGCAAAGGAAGGCUGGUCAGGGCACUUUCGGCGGCUGGUUCGGCGGCCGAAACCUCCCUCCAGAGACGAAACUCAUGCAUGUUCGGCGGCACCUUCGGCGGCCGAAAGCCUCGUCNNNN